CUAGUAACUAAAGUGCAGGAUUGG
This 24-nucleotide microRNA is filed under the name Saccoglossus kowalevskii. RNAcentral describes it as "sko-miR-4833". Lineage: Eukaryota; Metazoa; Hemichordata; Enteropneusta; Harrimaniidae. The record is from miRBase by way of RNAcentral.